This 406-nucleotide ribosomal RNA is filed under the name uncultured Acinetobacter sp. RNAcentral's name for it is "bacterial SSU rRNA". It matches the Rfam family "Bacterial small subunit ribosomal RNA", at positions 510 to 915 of the family's 1533-position model. The record is from RNAcentral. Lineage: Bacteria; Pseudomonadati; Pseudomonadota; Gammaproteobacteria; Moraxellales; Moraxellaceae.
AGCAGCCGCGGUAAUACAGAGGGUGCGAGCGUUAAUCGGAUUUACUGGGCGUAAAGCGUGCGUAGGCGGCUUUUUAAGUCGGAUGUGAAAUCCCCGAGCUUAACUUGGGAAUUGCAUUCGAUACUGGGAAGCUAGAGUAUGGGAGAGGAUGGUAGAAUUCCAGGUGUAGCGGUGAAAUGCGUAGAGAUCUGGAGGAAUACCGAUGGCGAAGGCAGCCAUCUGGCCUAAUACUGACGCUGAGGUACGAAAGCAUGGGGAGCAAACAGGAUUAGAUACCCUGGUAGUCCAUGCCGUAAACGAUGUCUACUAGCCGUUGGGGCCUUUGAGGCUUUAGUGGCGCAGCUAACGCGAUAAGUAGACCGCCUGGGGAGUACGGUCGCAAGACUAAAACUCAAAGGAAUUGACG